Molecule: ribosomal RNA, 450 nt
Filed under: uncultured bacterium
Lineage: Bacteria
Description: bacterial SSU rRNA
Rfam family: Bacterial small subunit ribosomal RNA
Source: RNAcentral
UGGGGAAUAUUGCACAAUGGGGGAAACCCUGAUGCAGCAACGCCGCGUGAGUGAUGAAGGCCUUCGGGUUGUAAAGCUCUGUCUUCAGGGACGAUAAUGACGGUACCUGAGGAGGAAGCCACGGCUAACUACGUGCCAGCAGCCGCGGUAAUACGUAGGUGGCAAGCGUUGUCCGGAUUUACUGGGCGUAAAGGGAGCGUAGGUGGAUAUUUAAGUGGGAUGUGAAAUACUCGGGCUUAACCUGAGUGCUGCAUCCCAAACUGGAUAUCUAGAGUGCAGGAGAGGAAAGUAGAAUUCCUAGUGUAGCGGCGAAAUGCGUAGAUAUUAGGAAGAACACCAGUGGCGAAGGCGGCUUUCUGGACUGAAACUGACGCUGAGGCUCGAAAGCGUGGGGAGCGAACAGGAUUAGAUACCCUGGUAGUCCAUGCCGUAAACGAUGAUUACUAGGUG